UGGAAAUUUGAUAAACAGGAGAAGGAAUACUCUAAAUCCCACUAAAGGAAAACACUGAGGUCAGUCACUCCCAUUCACCUUGCAUUUCUGCUUUUGGCUAAAUUGCAGACUGGACACGGAACAACUUCAUCUUUUUUAUUGGAAAAGAAGACCUUCCUUUCUAGGCUUUACUCUACUGCCUCUACCAAACACCAAGUGGAAGAGCCAGCUGCCUUUCAAUCCAGCAGCAAAACUGUGGCACAAGAAUCCAUGUCCUACGCAAGAUCUAGGCUCAGAAUCCUCAACAAGGUUUGGUUGCUGUUUCCAUUCACGUCUCUUUCCAACCUCCUUUCUGAACAGUUAUAAACCUGUUUCUUACACUGAGAAUGAAAUACCUUUGCUGGUUGCAGGCUGACCCCCUCAGAGUAUGGCCAAGGUAAAGACAUCACUUCUAAAGAAAAUCACUGUACUUAGAAAAGCAAAGCAGGGAGCAUUAAAAUGUUUUUCUUUC
Molecule: long non-coding RNA, 490 nt
Filed under: Calidris pugnax (ruff)
Lineage: Eukaryota; Metazoa; Chordata; Aves; Charadriiformes; Scolopacidae
Description: lncRNA (ENSCPUG00000014158.1)
Source: RNAcentral